GCAAGGAAUAUUGUGCAAUGGGCGAAAGCCUGACACAGCGACACCGCGUGAGGGAAGAAGGCCUUCGGGUCGUAAACCUCUUUUCUCAGGGAGGAGUAAGGACAGUACCUGGGGAAUAAGCCACGGCUAACUACGUGCCAGCAGCUGCGGUAAAACGUAGGUGGCGAGCGUUAUCCGGAUUCAUUGGGCGUAAAGAGGGCGCAGGCGGCCCGGUAAGUCGAAUGUGAAAUCUCCUGGCUUAACUGGGAGGGGUCAUUCGAUACUAUCGAGCUAGAGUGCAACAGGGGAAGGUGGAAUUCCCGGUGUAGUGGUGAAAUGCGUAGAUAUCGGGAGGAACACCAGUGGCGAAGGCGGCCUUCUGGGUUGUUACUGACGCUUAAGCCCGAAAGCGUGGGGAGCAAACAGGAUCAGAUACCCCAGUAGUCC
RNAcentral lists this ribosomal RNA (426 nucleotides) under uncultured bacterium. RNAcentral's name for it is "bacterial SSU rRNA". It matches the Rfam family "Bacterial small subunit ribosomal RNA", at positions 354 to 796 of the family's 1533-position model. The record is from RNAcentral.